This 496-nucleotide ribosomal RNA is filed under the name uncultured bacterium. Its description in RNAcentral is "partial 16S ribosomal RNA". It matches the Rfam family "Bacterial small subunit ribosomal RNA", at positions 28 to 507 of the family's 1533-position model. The record is from RNAcentral.
GAUGAACGCUGGCGGCGUGCCUAAUACAUGCAAGUCGAGCGAACGGACGAGAAGCUUGCUUCUCUGAUGUUAGCGGCGGACGGGUGAGUAACACGUGGAUAACCUACCUAUAAUACUGGGAUAACUUCGGGAAACCGGAGCUAAUACCGGAUAAUAUUUUGAACCGCAUGGUUCAAAAGUGAAAGACGGUCUUGCUGUCACUUAUAGAUGGAUCCGCGCUGCAUUAGCUAGUUGGUAAGGUAACGGCUUACCAAGGCAACGAUGCAUAGCCGACCUGAGAGGGUGAUCGGCCACACUGGAACUGAGAAACGGUCCAGACUCCUAGGGGAGGCAGAGGUAGGGAAUCUUCCGAAAUGGGCGAAAGCCUGCCGGAGCAACGCGGCGUGAGUGAUGAAGGUCUUCGGAUCGUAAAACUCUGUUAUUAGGGAAGAACAUAUGUGUAAGUACUGUGCACAUCUUGACGGUACCUAAUCAGAAAGCCACGGCUAACUACGUG